Molecule: long non-coding RNA, 3695 nt
Filed under: Homo sapiens (human)
Lineage: Eukaryota; Metazoa; Chordata; Mammalia; Primates; Hominidae
Description: HSALNT0297860
Source: RNAcentral
UAUGCUUAAGAGAGCCUAACCCCCUCCACACACUGGGGCUUCCUUUUUUCAAGCCCUAUCUUUAUCCAGGUGGGAAAAUGCCUCAAAAGCCUUAAGUCAGAUCAAGCAAUGAUCACCAGUUAAUGCACAGAAAUAACUAAAUGGGACUCAUGUUCCUCUUGUUUCUGGGCAGGGUGGAGGAGGAAGAAGUCUUUAAUCUUCUGAGUUGUGCCUUAUUAGGCAGCAGAGAGAUGCUCUCUGACUUGGCACGUGGCCUGUGAUCUUCCAGGAUGAAAAGUUCUGUCUGAAUGCAGGCAGGGAUGAUUUGCUAAUCAAGGAUGAGACAGAGCAAGUGGCAUGCCCAACAGGACAGGGACAGCCAGGCUGAGGCCACCCCCUUCCUAUUGAUUUAUAUUUCUAUUCACUGUUCUGAAAUGUGGAGAGCUCAUAACCCUCCGGAAAGACCGUUUCAGCUGCUGGUGGGGAGUUAGUGUUUCAGGAAUGAGGGUGGUGAGGAGAAGCCUUUGCUCUGAAACUUAUGUGGUCUGGAAACUUCAGGAUCUUAUCUUCCUCCUUCUCUUCUCUCCUCCUCCUUGUCUUUCCUCUCCUCCUCUUUUUCCUCCUUUUGCUGUCAGUUGCCUAAGGGAAGGGAUCUUGGCCUUAGCUGCUAAGUUGCCAGGGUUGUUCAGGGAAGGCUAAAAGAUGCAGGAGGCAAGAGGAAGCCCAAGGCCUUUCUUGUCUCAUCAGUCUUUCCGGGUCCUGGGCUGAGGCAGACAGGAUGGCUCGGUGAGCUUGUGACAACAUUCCAGGCCUGCAGCUCGGAUGGCAGCUGUCCAUGGCAGGCCAGACUUUGGAAUAUCUCACUAGAACCUUGCUUGUCUCACAGCCCCCACCCCGAAGCUAACACCCUUUUGUCUCCAGCUGGUCCUUGGCCCCCUGCUGUUCUCAUUUGUGAUUUUAUUUUCCCUGAAUGCAGGGAGUUACUCAGAGCUGGGCUCUUGUCCAACUGGUCCUGCACGAUCUUUUUCUUCCCCGGGAUGCUAGCUCCUCUUCUUGAGGAUUCUUGCUGGGUCUGCCUUCCCUCUCUCCAUCUGGUGCUGUACGCCCGCUGAGUGGGCCCUGCAGGGCUGGAGUUGGCUAGGCUGGGCAGCCAGCAAGCCAGCAAAGCCCCUACAGCCGUGAACCGGGAAUCCAGGAUGCCUACUCUGCCAGUCUAUGUCAAAAAGACAAAACACCUAGAGAGGUUUAAAAACAUUCAGGAGAAGAAAAAGCAAGCGCACAGCAUGAGAGAGCUUUGUCCAGCCAGCACUUUUACUAGCAAUAAAUCUGCCUUAAAAUGUAUAAGGAUAUACAGAAAAAGAAAAUUGAGCAAAUCACUUUGGUGGAAACCCAUUUCUCCCGCACUCGGCCAUUUCUCUGCAUCAGCUCUUCACUCUCCCAGGGAGAGCUCCCAGCCAAGUAAGACAACAGUGUAAACAAAAGUCACCCCAGGCCCAAAACCAAGUUUCCUGCAGGGCACUGUCUGCUGCGGCUGGCAGAACCUACUGGGUUUCUGGCUUUGUGCUGACCUUUGCAAGUGUGCUUCAGCUGGAAAAAUCAGACCUAUCUAUCUAUCUCCAUGUUGAAGACCCCCCCCGGGUUCAGGCUAUACAGGGUGGACAAGGUCCAAGUGUCUCAUCCUUCCUGAUCCUGAGGACGGUGGUGGUUUCUGGAGGAGUCCAAAGUGAUCCCAGCCAUACUGCCUGGGAAUGAUUGCUUACCACCCAGGAACAGAACCUGGGGUCUAUUCUCUGCAGCUGGAUCUAUGGAGGUCAGACGAGUCUGCUAUAACAUAUUUUGUUAUGUGAAAUUGUAGCACGACAAGCUGCAGACAAAACUCCUCAGACACGGAGUCAAAGAAGGAAGAGGUUUAUUCGGCCGGGAGCAUCGGCAGGACUCCUGUCUCAAGAGCCAAGCUCCCCAGACCCACUAAUGGACUAAGUAAUGUUUCUGUUGGUGACUCUAAGCAAGGAAAACAAAUAAGGCAAAGAAGGAGGUAAAAGAGACAAGUAAGACAUCUGAGAACCUGCAAUGACUCUUGGGAAGACAUCAAAGCAGAAAAAGAAAGAAGUGGCAAGUGACAAAAGAGAUGUUUUUGACCUUCGUGGAGAAGAAGUUUGGUGGUGGGGCAGGAGCAGAAGUUAGAACUCGGGAUUUCUUUGUUCACCUUGGCUGCGAAGCCACCCAUAUAUGACCAGUGUUGAAACUCAUUGCACCAGGCCAACCAAUUAGUCUGUAUUGGCCCCAUAAACUUUGAGCUGACAAGUAUCAAGUGAAAGGUUCUUGAGAAUAAGACUGAAAAAUCCUUCUUACUUCCCCCUACAAAAAAAAUUCUCCAGCCCCAGAAUGUUAUUCCUUCCCAAGAAACACAAAUUAACUAGCUGCACUAAUGACCUCCAGACCAACACAAACCCAUUUCCCCUUGAAAUUAACCUUCUAUUCUGAAUCUAAACAGUGUCUAAUUAGCCCCAAACACUGGUGAGCUAACUGGAAGAGAAGAAUGUAGGAAAUCAAAACAAGGGGAUAGUUUUACGGUUGGAAAAAAAAAAAUAGCGAAAAGCCAUCCUCCAAUUAUCCUAUCCUUCUAACCUCCGCCCCCAGAUCCUUAUCCUGCAUCUUCAUUUGUCUUCCUUUCCGUAAACCUUGUAAAGGAGUCUGCUUUUCAGACAAAUAUUUUUCCCAGCUCAUUUGACACCUAGAAGGCAGGAAAAAUAUUGCCCAUCACGAUAAAUAUAAUAUUCCAAUUUUCCAGCAUUUGACAGCAAUCAAGGGAAGAGUAAUGUGUUCCCUCUGUGACUAAAUCAUUUAGAGACCAAGGUAUUCUGUCUCAUUCUCAUUAGGAAAAAAAAAUAUUCCAAUAAUCUCAUUAUCCCAGUGUGAAUAACAGUAAAAAAGCACCAAGACUAAUGACUUCUUCCGCGCUUGCCUCCGCAGAUACCAGCCCAGGCCGUGCUUUUAUAGGCAAUGCUUGGGUAAUGGAGUCUCCCUUAGCAGCGAUCCUGUAGCAUCUGCUGCUCUGAAAGCCCUGCCUAACACAUUCUGCUUUGUCUGCAGCAAGGUUUACACACACCCCUGGACUCCAAAGACUCUUUUUUAUGUACUUUUUAAAAAACUAACUCCAAUGGAAAAAGAAUGUGUCAUGGCAUGUUAAACUUUAUGGAAAUUCUUCUGGAGAAUAACAUAAUUUCACGGUGCAUUACUCUGAAAUGACCUAGUACUUGAACAAUUAAUUUUUAAGGUGUAGCAUUGACUUCCCCUUGCUGUAUUUAACCCAUAUCUGAAAUUGUCAACAAUGCCAAGGGUUGGACAAUGAGUUGGGAGAAGAGCAGGAGCCUGAAAAUUACUCCCUAUCUACUAUGUUUUCUUUUAUCAGACAUAAUGCUUCCCUCUUUGGUUCAAAAAUGAAAAGAGAAGGGAGCAGGUACUUUAGUUAGGGACACUUCAUAGGCAGCACAGCCUGGCAGGUAAAUAGUGCAGUCCUGGAGACAUAAACUCGACGUCUUACCUUUGUCAUUAAUUUACUGUGUAGCCUUAGAGAAACUCCUUUUUCUCUCUGUAGCUAAAAUGGGGGAAGGAGAGGUUUUGUUUGUUAUGCCCCCAAAAGGAAUUCAGUGAUAGAAAAUGAAUAGAUGUAUAAUAUAUCCUCUGAUUCCUUGAAAUAAAAGCUCUGAAUGUUU